ACCGGCAGCUCUAGUGGUAGCUGUUUUUAUUGGGCCUAAAGCGUCCGUAGCCGGUUUAUUAAGUCUCUGGUGAAAUCCUGCAGCUUAACUGUGGGAAUUGCUGGAGAUACUAUUAGACUUGAGAUCGGGAGAGGUUAGAGGUACUCCCAGGGUAGAGGUGAAAUUCUGUAAUCCUGGGAGGACCGCCUGUGGCGAAGGCGUCUGACUGGAACGAUUCUGACGGUGAGGGACGAAAGCUAGGGGCGCGAACCG
This 252-nucleotide ribosomal RNA is filed under the name uncultured bacterium. RNAcentral's name for it is "partial 16S ribosomal RNA". It matches the Rfam family "Archaeal small subunit ribosomal RNA", at positions 475 to 726 of the family's 1478-position model. The record is from RNAcentral.